GUGACCAAGUUAAGUCAAUUAUUUUUGGUACCAUUUCUUUUAAAUUAGAUAAUUUUGGAGUUAAACUCUCCUCCAUUAUGAAUGAAUAAACUGCUUCACGUUGCAUGCCCCAAAUUUUAGAUUCUAUUUUGUUAGAUAUAUUUUCUGUUGGAAAUGUUGAAGGUGCAUAAAUGAAAGAUCUAAUAAAUUUUAUAGUUGAACAAGGAGACAUUGGAGAAGGUAUCAAUUCCUGCAAAAGAUAACAUCAUUAGGUACUUCUCUCAUGAAAAUGUUCAUACUUCCAUAAUCCGUAACCAAAGAUGACACAAAUAUGCUUUGACCAGAUGUCAACGCUUAAAACGAACAGAAAUGAUCGACGCAAAAGGAGAACAUCUUUAAUACACCGAAGAUUUUCUACAUCCACUUGAACACGUUAUUUUUCUCUUUGAUUUUCUUUAAGCAAGAGUAAGGAAAAAAGGUCUAUAAAUAGAAGAAGAGAAAAAAGAGAAAUAUAACAUUGAGGAUAGAAAGAAAUGAAAGAAGAAGAGGAAAGAGAGGAGGUCGUAUUCAACUCUUGAUCCACCGAUUACUAGUUAUUUUACUCUGUUUAAAAUCGACAAUCCCAGCAAUAUGCAUAUAAGCUCAGUCCCUACUAACACAAGUCGAUGACAGAGAUGGUAAACGCGCGAGAAGCCACAUAUUUCUACUUUGUUCUUGUUUCUUUUUUCAUUUUUUAGCCAAGUGUUGUAGUUGUAUUCCUGGCUGAUUAUCGCAUUACUUUAUUAUCUAUCACUACUGCUUAUUAUUACUAUCGUUAUCCACGUUAUCGACAAGAAAUCCGCUUACAGUGAUAGGGACCUAAGUUUAGUUUUAAAUCUUGAGAAGAGGUGAACGUGAAACUCACUAAUCUCAAAUUAUCUUCUUCUUUGGUUUCUUUUUAAAAUUUACCUUUGAAAUUAACCUUUCUAUUUUUUUUUUUAGCGCUAAAUAUAUAUAUUCCAUGUAUUAUAUUUAUUUCUCAUUUAAAUGUAAGUUAAUAAAAAUACAAUAUACAUAUGAAAAUGCAAAGUAUACGUUAAGGGAUGCACUUACCGGCUCGUGAAGAAGCUCGUGAUUCACUAAGGAAAAGCAGAAAAAAUAUGUUAGCAAAAAAGGUUGCUGAGUUCUUUAUAAAAUUGUAGAAACAUCUCUAGUAAUAUUGAACACAUUAUCUUUUGUUACAUUAAAUGAGAUAAUAUGGUAUUUCGCUGCAUAUCAAUUUCUCAUUUCUCUUUGGAGCACAAUCAAACAAAAUUUAUAAAAUGAUCUUUAAAAAGAAGAUAUUGGUAUCGAAAUAUAUUUUACGGGACUAAAAAAAAAUGAUGUUCAAAUAUUUCUUUAAUUGAAGUUGAUAAAAAAAAAAUAAUGUAUAUAAUAAAAAAUAUAUG
RNAcentral lists this unclassified non-coding RNA (1406 nucleotides) under Bombus terrestris (buff-tailed bumblebee). RNAcentral's name for it is "misc RNA ENSBTSG00005038286.1". The record is from RNAcentral. Lineage: Eukaryota; Metazoa; Arthropoda; Insecta; Hymenoptera; Apidae.